This 433-nucleotide ribosomal RNA is filed under the name uncultured bacterium. RNAcentral describes it as "partial 16S ribosomal RNA". It matches the Rfam family "Bacterial small subunit ribosomal RNA", at positions 29 to 507 of the family's 1533-position model. The record is from RNAcentral.
AACGAACGCUGGCGGCAUGCCUAACACAUGCAAGUCGAACGAGACCUUCGGGUCUAGUUGCGCACGGGUGCGUAACGCGUGGGAACCUUCCCUUAGGUUCGGAAUAACUCCCCGACAGGGGUGCUAAUACCGGAUAAUGUCUUCGGACCAAAGAUUUAUCGCCUUUGGAUGGGCCCGCGUUGGAUUAGCUAGUUGGUAGGGUAAAAGCCUACCAAGGCGACGAUCCAUAGCUGGUCUGAGAGGAUGAUCAGCCACACUGGGACUGAGACACGGCCGAGACUCCUACGGGAGGCAGCAGUGGGGAAUAUUGGACAAUGGGCGAAGGCCUGAUCCAGCAAUGCCGCGUGAGUGAUGAAGGCCUUAGGGUUGUAAAGCUCUUUUACCCGGGAUGAUAAUGACAGUACCGGGAGAAUAAGCACCGGCUAACUCCGUG